Molecule: long non-coding RNA, 1469 nt
Organism: Cebus imitator (Panamanian white-faced capuchin)
Lineage: Eukaryota; Metazoa; Chordata; Mammalia; Primates; Cebidae
Exons: 2
Source: RefSeq, a predicted model, not a curated record
ACGGCAGGAUGGGGAGGCUGCAAGUGGGAGGGAGGAGCAAUGAGGGAGGGACGAGUCGGAGGGUAGAGAGAAGAGCUGAAGGCAAAGGGCGUAGGGCGGGGCAGGAGGGUGCAGAGGAGGAAGUGAGGAGGAGGAGGAGGGGUGAGGGUAGGGAAAGGAGAGAAGAGGGAAGCGGGAGGGAGGAGGAGGGGCGAGGGGGGCAAGGAGAAAAAAGAGGGGCAGCGGGGGGCGAAGGCUGGACGGCAGGGCCAAGCCGCAGGCGCUGACGCAGGGCGGCUUCCGGGCGCGGGGCGCUGGGCCCCGCGGCUGGUCCCGACGCCGCUGGCCUUGUAUGGUCGGAAGACGCAGUUCCCCCGGGGCCCCUCCUAGACGCGCGGCCCCUACUACCCACACGCCCUGGCCUCGCGGGGCCAACCCUGGUGGGUGUCUGAGGCCUCGGGUUUCCAAGGUUCGGAAAUACCAAGAUCCGGUAAUUCCUGGGCUCCAGCGUCCCGGGUGGCCAAAAACCUGCAACUCCAAGCCACCAGGGCUCUAGAGUCUAAAGCGCCAGGGGACUUAACCUGAGACUCCUAAAUGUUGAGAUCCUAGACUCUUGAGACCCUAAAACCCGCUUCCCCACAACAUCCCGAAGGCGUCGAAGCCCCCCGGAACCCGAGUCCCGAAACGGGUUCCGUUACCCCAGGCUGUCCCGCCCCGCGCCCGCCCCCGCUCGCCCUGGGCGCGCGCCCCAGCACAUUCCGUCCUCUCCACCCGGCCCCUCCCGCCUCCCGCGGCCCCGUGGGGACGGAAACAUCCCGUACCCGCUUGCGCGCGCCCGCCAGAGUUGGGUCAAGGAGCCCGGCAAGACGGGAGCGCGGCCCCCCCGACGCCCGGGAACUGGCUCCCCCGGUUCUCAUCUGGUGACCUCACCUGGUCCCACCCUUUCAGGUGAACGGCCAGGCCCGGUGACGUCACUUCCUGCCAGACCGCGAAGAAGCGAGGAUCCCAGCUUACACGCAGAUUCCGUUUAUUUAAAAAUUUCCAAAAACACAAAAAUAGACUUUUAAGGUAACAAUAUAUAUUACUAAAUAUAUUAUUAUAGUCUACUUAUAAUAAUUAUACCGUCGUUUCCAAUAUUACAAAAAAAGAGGAAGAAAAAUACGAGGGAAGCAGACGACCCAAUAUAUAUAAAUACUAUAAAAUCAUAUUAGAAUAAAUAAAGUCGUCAUAAAUAAAGACCCAUUGAUUCAUGGGUGGGGUUUGGCAACAGCUUUGGCUACUUGCUUUUGGAGGGUAAUUUGAGCACCAGGAUUCCCCCUCAGGGGAGGUUCCAGUUACCAGGAGACUGGAACCUCAGAUCUCUAAAAACUGGAGGGGCAGAGAAGGCCUAUUAUUCACAGCACGUAAGAUUCCACGAAACAGAUUUGCGCAGGGAAGAGGUGGGGGAGAGGGUUCAUUGCCUCCCUUAAAUAUGCUACAUUUUUUUUUUU